AUACGGAGGAUCCGAGCGUUAUCCGGAUUUAUUGGGUUUAAAGGGAGCGUAGGUGGACAGUUAAGUCAGUUGUGAAAGUUUGCGGCUCAACCGUAAAAUUGCAGUUGAUACUGGCUGUCUUGAGUACAGUAGAGGUGGGCGGAAAUCGUGGUGUAGCGGUGAAAUGCUUAGAUAUCACGAAGAACUCCGAUUGCGAAGGCAGCUCACUGGACUGCAACUGACACUGAUGCUCGAAAGUGUGGGUAUCAAACAGGAUUAGAUACCCUGGUAGUCCACACAGUAAACGAUGAAUACUCGCUGUUUGCGAUAUACAGUAAGCGGCCAAGCGAAAGCAUUAAGUAUUCCACCUGGGGAGUACGCCGGCAACGGUGAAACUCAAAUGAAUUGACGG
RNAcentral lists this ribosomal RNA (391 nucleotides) under uncultured bacterium. RNAcentral describes it as "partial 16S ribosomal RNA". It matches the Rfam family "Bacterial small subunit ribosomal RNA", at positions 523 to 916 of the family's 1533-position model. The record is from RNAcentral.